UACGAAGGGGGCGAGCGUUGCUCGGAAUUACUGGGCGUAAAGGGCCCGUAGGCGGCCAGUCUAGUCAGGUGUGAAAGUCCUGGGCUUAACCUGGGGAGUGCAUUUGAUACUGGGUUGCUUGAAUUCGGGAGAGGAUAGCGGAAUUCCCAGUGUAGAGGUGAAAUUCGUAGAUAUUGGGAAGAACACCGGUGGCGAAGGCGGCUAUCUGGAUCGACAUUGACGCUGAGGCGCGAAAGCGUGGGGAGCAAACAGG
Molecule: ribosomal RNA, 253 nt
Filed under: uncultured bacterium
Lineage: Bacteria
Description: partial 16S ribosomal RNA
Rfam family: Bacterial small subunit ribosomal RNA
Source: RNAcentral